Molecule: ribosomal RNA, 253 nt
Filed under: uncultured bacterium
Lineage: Bacteria
Description: partial 16S ribosomal RNA
Rfam family: Bacterial small subunit ribosomal RNA
Source: RNAcentral
UACGUAGGGGGCGAGCGUUGUCCGGAGUUACUGGGCGUAAAGGGCACGCAGGCGGUGCGGCGCGUUUCGCGUGACAGCGGAGGGCUUAACUCUCCGAGGAUGCGAAAGACGGCGGCACUUGAGGGCCAGAGAGGGACACGGAAUUCCGGGUGGAGUGGUGAAAUGCGUAGAGAUCCGGAGGAACACCGAAGGCGAAGGCAGUGUCCUGGCUGGUGACUGACGCUGAGGUGCGAAAGCUAGGGGGGCGAACGGG